Molecule: unclassified non-coding RNA, 309 nt
Filed under: uncultured fungus
Lineage: Eukaryota; Fungi
Description: sequence contains ITS1
Source: RNAcentral
GUAAACGAUUUAAUCGUACUCAGACAAAACAUACACUAUCCACGAGUAGGGGCCCUCUGGCACAGCCCAAGCCUGGAACCACCCAGGCGAGAGCCGUACCAAAGCAACAGAGGUAGAAUAAACAAAGGGUUAAAGAAGUAGCCACCCGGGCUUCCCUCUCCCUGAUGUGAACCCAAGGUCCAGGCAUCAGGGCCCCCAGGACAGGCAGAGCCUGUACGCUGAGGUUUGCACCGGGCUCGACUCUAUUGGCAUGAUAUGGGCCAGGCCCAGUCAUCAGUAAUGAUCCUUCCGCAGGUUCACCUACGGAAA